ACCGCCGCCAACCUACCUACUGCUGCCAAUCUACCUACCACUGCCAACCUAUCUAUCACUGCUAAUCUAUUGCUGCUAAUCUAUCACUGCUAAUCUAUCACUGCCAACCUACCUACCACUGCCAACCUACCUACCACUGCCAACCUAUCUAUCACUGCCAACCUAUAUAGGGUAAAUCAUGGUCCCAUUUGAUCCCAUUUUGUAAAAUGGGACCAAAUGGGACCAGAAUCACUAAUUUAUUAGUAAAACAUGAUCUGGGACUAGAUUUAUAAUAUAAACAGUGUAAAGUGACUAAUUUGCUAAACACUAUAUGGGACCAGGACUAAGAUAUCUAAUAAUGGGACUGAGGAAAAAUUUGGUCCCAGUCCCAUGCAUGGUCACACAGCCAGUCUAAUAACAACAACAAGUUGAUUAUAAAAUCCUCUCUUUCUCUAUCUCUUCUCUCAACUUCUUUUCUCUUUCUCUCUUCAGCUUCUUCAUCAUCAUUCACUGAUAUAUACAAUCUCUUUUGCAUCAGAAUUCAUCAUUUUCUUGUUGAAAUUCAUCAAGAUCACUCAUCCACUGUUCAUUCUGUCUUUUUCCCACUCUGUACACUGUAUGAGAUGUUCAUUUCAUCAUAUCAAAGAAGAAGAACACUGACAGAGACUUGUAUACAUAGUC
Molecule: small RNA, 660 nt
Filed under: Histoplasma capsulatum
Lineage: Eukaryota; Fungi; Ascomycota; Eurotiomycetes; Onygenales; Ajellomycetaceae
Also listed under: 1 other name
Description: hypothetical RNA
Source: RNAcentral